GUUUUUCGCUUCAAGAUGAGCCUGCGUCAGAUUAGCUAGUUGGUGAGGUAACGGCUCACCAAGGCAACGAUCUGUAACUGGUCUGAGAGGAUGAUCAGUCACACUGGAACUGAGACACGGUCCAGACUCCUACGGGAGGCAGCAGUAGGGAAUAUUGCACAAUGGAGGAAACUCUGAUGCAGCGACGCCGCGUGAGCGAUGAAGGAUUUCGGUCUGUAAAGCUCUGUCGUAAGGGAAUAAAAAAAUG
RNAcentral lists this ribosomal RNA (247 nucleotides) under uncultured Bdellovibrio sp. RNAcentral's name for it is "partial 16S ribosomal RNA". It matches the Rfam family "Bacterial small subunit ribosomal RNA", at positions 210 to 456 of the family's 1533-position model. The record is from RNAcentral. Lineage: Bacteria; Pseudomonadati; Bdellovibrionota; Bdellovibrionia; Bdellovibrionales; Pseudobdellovibrionaceae.